This 492-nucleotide ribosomal RNA is filed under the name uncultured bacterium. RNAcentral describes it as "partial 16S ribosomal RNA". It matches the Rfam family "Bacterial small subunit ribosomal RNA", at positions 29 to 507 of the family's 1533-position model. The record is from RNAcentral.
AGUGAACGCUGGCGGUAUGCCUAACACAUGCAAGUCGAACGGCAGCGCAGUAAGAGCUUGCUCUUACGGGUGGCGAGUGGCGGACGGGUGAGGAAUACAUCGGAAUCUACUUUUUCGUGGGGGAUAACGUAGGGAAACUUACGCUAAUACCUCAUACGACCUACCGGUGAAAGCAAGGGAUCUUCGGACCUUUCGCGAAUGAAUGAACCGAGGUCGGAUUAGCUAGUUGGCGGGGUAAAGGCCGACCAAGGCGACGGUCCGUAGCUGGUCUGAGAGGAUGAUCAGCCAAACUGGAACUGAGAACCGGCCAAGACUCCUAGGGGAGGCAGCAGAGGGGAAUAUUGGAAAAGGGGCGAAAGCCUGAUCCAGCCAGACCGGGUGGGGAAAGAAGGCCUUCGGGUUGUAAAGUCCGUUUGUUGGGAAAGAAAAGCAGCAGGUUAAUACCCCGAUGUUCUGACGGUACCCAAAGAAUAAGCACCGGCUAACUUCGUG